AUGGUGAUGAGAGGCGGCAAGAGCAGCGUCAAGACCAUGGCAGUGAUGCUUGCAGUUGUGGGUCUUGUGGCCCUGCAGCAAACACAGCGAGUGCAAGCUAGCGUGUGUUGCUGUUUAGACCUGGCGGUCCCUGUGUACUAUACAUGCCGCGGCUCUUCUGGUACCAUGUCACAGUGUUGCCCUACGUGUGGUGGCUAUGUAUCAGUCGGUGGAUGCAGGCCCCCAUAUGUCCCCAUAUCUGGCUACCGCACAACAGCCGUCAACUACUGCAAGCUGGGGUGCACGGCUUCCGUGUGCAACAAAUUAAUUCCAUCUGUUGUUGGCAGUGGCAACGAAGGAAAAGAUGCCAUGGAACGUUGUACCAGUGGAUGUCAUGAUCUGUGCACCAAGAGCAGCACUGACAUUGCAAAAGUCCACAAUGCUUAA
This 426-nucleotide ribosomal RNA is filed under the name Triticum aestivum (bread wheat). RNAcentral's name for it is "partial small subunit ribosomal RNA". Lineage: Eukaryota; Viridiplantae; Streptophyta; Magnoliopsida; Poales; Poaceae. The record is from RNAcentral.